CCCCGACCCGCAUGUCUAUUUAGAUGAAUGCUUUAAAAAUUCAUGCAAUACUAAUCAUCGAACACCCCGAAGAUUCUGAAAAACACUUAUCCAUCAUUACAAUAGUCAAAAACCUUCCCUAAAUGCUCUAAAAUGAUGACAUAUGCACUCCACUUAAUGAGAACCUCAUACAAGACAAACGAUCCAAACUCAUCAUGUAAGAGAUGGCCUACUGGUUAUACUUAAAUAGACACCUUGCCAUGAACUCACCUUAAUUACAAUAGCCUGGCCACCAGCCAAUUAUACCAAAUAUAUUCU
RNAcentral lists this long non-coding RNA (297 nucleotides) under Nicotiana benthamiana. Its description in RNAcentral is "long non-coding RNA (NBEN_LNC041325)". The record is from RNAcentral. Lineage: Eukaryota; Viridiplantae; Streptophyta; Magnoliopsida; Solanales; Solanaceae.